Molecule: long non-coding RNA, 278 nt
Filed under: Pan troglodytes (chimpanzee)
Lineage: Eukaryota; Metazoa; Chordata; Mammalia; Primates; Hominidae
Description: lincRNA
Source: RNAcentral
GUGACUCGAAGAAGCCUUCCAAAAAGCGUGUGAAAAGGGAGCCCUCCUCUACUACCAAGGUGACUUCAGGGAGCACAUUCAAUGGUACGUAUUCUGGAAUCACUCACUGGUUGUUAGAAAGGAUUCUAUAGGAAAUCUGGAGCUUAACUGCUGGCUUUUGUCUGGAGAGCCUCCAUGAUCCAAGACAUCUGAGAAUACAAGAAGAUAUGCUGUGCACACCAACCAGUGUCGGAGACCUCAUGGCUCCCCGGUAAAGAAGAAGAGGUACCCACAAGAAG